This is a long non-coding RNA of Pollicipes pollicipes, 996 nucleotides long. RefSeq lists it as uncharacterized. The record is from RefSeq and is a predicted model, not a curated record. The transcript is spliced from 3 exons. NCBI's taxonomy places the organism in Eukaryota, Metazoa, Arthropoda, Thecostraca, Pollicipedomorpha, Pollicipedidae.
AGCCGGACCCGGAGCUGGAGCCGGAGUCAGAGCCGGAGCCGCAGCCGGCCGGCGCCACCGUCGCCAUGUUCGGAGUACCUCUCUCGGUAAUGAUGUCGGAGGCGUCUAAAAAGAAAAAGAGGCUGGGCGGCGCCGGCGCGAGGGACAGGCCGGGGUCGCCGGACCAGGGCCGGCUGGACCGGUCCUGGAGGACAGCCUGCGGGCUCGUGCCGCGACUACUGAGACAGGCGGACAGGGUCACCACAGGUCACACACAGCAGUGCCCGUCCGUGGAGAUGGCGGAGCUCCAGGCAGCUGCCGCCAGCCUGGCUCGGCUGGAGAUCGAAGCUGCCUCUUCACCAGCCUCCGUCUCCUCCCCGGAGACCGGCAGCGCGGCGACGCAGCCGACUCACGCAGGAAAUACGGCUUUGUCUGCCUGGAGACGGAGCGUUGUCUCCCGUGGAGAGCGCUGAUCCUCCCAGAGACGGGUCCACAGUCUGCGAGGGGGACCCCUGCAUCUUCCGGAAACGGUUCUAUGUCUCUCGGAGAAAAGUGUCAAGCGGAGGAGACGGUGGAGACGCAGGCCGGUCCGGAAGCCGUCGGGAGCCAGGAGAGCGACUGGUUAUCGGAGACACUGGAGGAGGACUGGUUCCUCUGCACCGAGCGCGAGGAGCGGGAACGGGAGCAGGAGCAGGAGCGGCAGAGGCUGCUGCAGAUGACGCCGGCCGCGGCCGAGUGAUGUUCGCCAUCAGCAGGCUGGCAGACAGUGCGGCACGGGAUCGAGUGGACGGCAGAAAGCCUGCCGCGGCUGUCCGUACCGAAGAAGACGAGCCGCAUGGGUAGUUGUGCGCUUGGACAAACAUGCAGACACUUAGGCGGGAUUAUAAAUGCAUUAGCGAUCAUACCAAAUGUGGCUCAAUGUAGGGUCCGUAGUGGCAAUGAUGUCACCGCCAAAGGUUUCUCGAACCGUGUGUCGGUGACUGAAUAAGUUUUUUAGGUCGUGCUGGAAUUGUUAAA